This is a long non-coding RNA of Dendrobium catenatum, 356 nucleotides long. RefSeq lists it as uncharacterized. The record is from RefSeq and is a predicted model, not a curated record. NCBI's taxonomy places the organism in Eukaryota, Viridiplantae, Streptophyta, Magnoliopsida, Asparagales, Orchidaceae. The transcript has 2 exons.
ACAAAGUCUGGGCUAUUGAGGGUUUAGAAGCGACAUUUCAGGCAUCGAGGAGGAACAAACCUCGAGAGAGAAAGACGACUUCCUCCUCCGACCUCUCGCUUUUCUCUUUCUUUAUAGCUUUCCAUUGCAAAAUCCAGGAAAAUCUUGAAAAAAACCGACCAAGCUGGUUGUGGGUUUGUGCACGGGAUUGAGGAGCUAGGGUUUUGCUUCGUCGUGUGGAACCGGGAAGAUUUUCCCAGGACUUCUCUGAUAGGAAGUGCUUGUAUUCACCAGCAACCUAAUCAAAAUCGGCGAACCAACAGCAGCCAAAUGGCUUUCCACAGCAGGAAAACAGCAAAAAUCUGCUGUUUACAGCA